CAGUCGCCGCGGGAAAACGAAGGGUGCAAGCGUUACUCGGAAUUACUGGGCGUAAAGCGUGCGUAGGUGGUGGUUUAAGUCCGUUGUGAAAGCCCUGGGCUCAACCUGGGAAUUGCAGUGGAUACUGGAUCACUAGAGUGUGGUAGAGGAUAGUGGAAUUUCCGGUGUAGCAGUGAAAUGCGUAGAGAUCGGAAAGAACAUCUGUGGCGAAGGCGACUAUCUGGGCCAACACUGACACUGUGGCACGAAAGCGUGGGGAGCAAACAGGAUUAGAUACCCCCGUAGUCCCUGUCUCUUAUAU
Molecule: ribosomal RNA, 301 nt
Filed under: uncultured bacterium
Lineage: Bacteria
Description: partial 16S ribosomal RNA
Rfam family: Bacterial small subunit ribosomal RNA
Source: RNAcentral